AUCGCUUCUCGGCCUUUUGGCUAAGAUCAAGUGUAGUAUCUGUUCUUAUCAGUUUAAUAUCUGAUACGUCCCCUAUCUGGGGACAUAUAUUAAAUGGAUUUUUGGAACAGGGAGAUGGAAGAAGAGCUUGCUCGUCCACCUCAACGCAUCGACCUGGUAUUGCAGUACCUCCAGGACCGGUGCACCUCUC
This 190-nucleotide small nuclear RNA is filed under the name Xenopus tropicalis (tropical clawed frog). RNAcentral's name for it is "U2 spliceosomal RNA (ENSXETG00000044584.1)". It matches the Rfam family "U2 spliceosomal RNA". From Rfam's summary of the family: U2 is a small nuclear RNA (snRNA) component of the spliceosome (involved in pre-mRNA splicing). Complementary binding between U2 snRNA (in an area lying towards the 5' end but 3' to hairpin I) and the branchpoint sequence (BPS) of the intron results the bulging out of an unpaired adenosine, on the BPS, which initiates a nucleophilic attack at the intronic 5' splice site, thus starting the first of two transesterification reactions that mediate splicing. Lineage: Eukaryota; Metazoa; Chordata; Amphibia; Anura; Pipidae. The record is from Rfam by way of RNAcentral.